This 623-nucleotide long non-coding RNA is filed under the name Oryza sativa Indica Group (long-grained rice). RNAcentral's name for it is "lncRNA OsMH63_08G006410". Lineage: Eukaryota; Viridiplantae; Streptophyta; Magnoliopsida; Poales; Poaceae. The record is from RNAcentral.
UCGUCGUCCACGGCCACUGCUCAACCACCAGUCGCCACCGCCGCCAUCCACUUCCAAUGUGCUUCCACCGCCUGCCGUUGUCCACAUCUAUCACUAUGCCCUCAACGACAUCCAUGCCAUCCAAGGAGAUCACCCUCUGCCCAGACCCGAAGACGACCAGCUGCUGCGGAGCUCUUGAAUCAUGGAUUGGAUAGUGGAGUGAGUGAACCUGCCGGCUACGGGGAGCUCGCCGGACCAGAAGAUGAUGAAAUUGAAGUGUUGUCAAGUUUCUCCGAGGUAAAGCCCGGUGAGGAUGGCAAACAUGGAGUGAAGAGGUUAUGGUGUAUGCUGUGGCCUGAAGAAGGGCCUCCUAUGAUGGAAAUUGUGAGCAAGGCUGGCCCUCGAAUCCUUUUUUUUCCCCUGAUGAAUAUGUAAUUUCGAUAUGCUGCUGGAAUCGGUUGAAAUCUAUUUGUAACUCCACUGUCUCAUUUCCCCAUCAUAUAUGUAUCCAUUGCUGAAAGAGAUGUAAAGAGGUAAAUAGAUAGCGUGUACCCGAGCGGACUAUGCAUCAUUGGAUUGUAUCUAUGUUUCUGAUGGUCUUGUGGGUUUGAGGCCUUGAGCUUGAGAAUGUAUUUUUUUUCUUU